GGAAGGAUCAUUAAAACGUAUCCAAACGUAAAAAACCCCCCCGUGAACUUUCAACCCUGCUCCUUCGCCUCUGUGAGUCAGCAAUCCCUGGUAAAUCAUUUGGAGAAAAGCUUUUGAUUCAGGGACUACUGAGAUUCCUACCUCGCGUCGUAUAGAUUGGUAUCCAACCCAACGUAGCGGUAGAUUCAUUGCGACUUGUUUUCCCCAAGCAGUUAUUGAAUGAAAGUGUCAUUAAUUGUGCAAGGAGAACGCUUUACGGCUGCUGGAGUCCGAACACCGGACGGCGGACAAGUCCCACGCCUUAACCGGCCCUAAUAACCCCGUUUGUUCCGCGGCGUAGCUUGGACUAACGUUCAAGAAAGCGCACCCAAAAAACUUAUACGACUGUUAACAAUGGAUAUCUUGGUUCUCACAACGAUGAAGAACGCAGCGAAAUGCGAUACGUAAUGCGAAUUGCAGAAUUCAGUGAAUCAUCGAAUCUUUGAACGCAAAUCGCGCUCUCGGGUUACCCCCAAGAGCACACCUCUCUGAGUGUCGGUUUAACCAAAUGUCACCAAUUUAUUGGUGUACGACUUUUCUGAGGGUAAGGAGUCUCGGCUUCUUUCCCUUUAAAUCUCAGCCGCACGACUGUGUGUGUUCGUGGCAAGUUGGUUUCGCUUAAUUGUGAAUUCAAUCCACCAACCCUACGUUGUGUAGCCCCAAUGAAACAACUAAACACUGUCAGUGAAGUUAGGAACGCGUUUUCUGAAGGUCCGUGGUAUGCCCAGGCAUGUGAACAAAGUGUUCUGAAAGUGUUCUCUUUGGUUGCAGCCGAAGCGCAUCAACCUGGUCGGAGUUUUACUUUUGUAGCAACCAGAAGGAAAAACAAAUGCAAUGGUCACGGAGUUGUGAAAGUGUUCUCCUGGAUCAAUGCAGAAGUUUCUCGUUUGAUCGUUAUGAACGUUCGACACUGAACGGGAAGGUAUGCUGAAGCAAAUGCAUUAAGUAACCCAGUCAUCAGUUAGCGGUGGUCUUAAUGGAACCGCUUUGUGAAAAUUAUGAAUUAGACCUCAGAUGAAGUGGGAAGACCCCCUGAAUUUAAGCAUAUUAUUAAGGGGAGGAAAAGAAACUAACAAGGAUUCCCCUAGUAACGGCGAGUGAAGCGGGAAGAGCUCAAAUUUAAAAUCCGCUGGUCUAACAGCCUGUGGAGUUGUAAUCUAGAGAGGCUCUCUCAGUGCCAGCCUGGUUAUAAGUCCCUUGAAACGGGGCAUCAAAGAGGGUGAGAAUCCCGUAUUUGAGCCGGAGCUAAGUACGUACGAGGAGUUUUCUAAGAGUCGCGUUGCUUGGGAGUGCAGCGCUAAUUGGGUGGUAAAGUUCAUCUAAAGCUAAAUACUGGCGAGAGACCGAUAGCGAACAAGUACCGUGAGGGAAAGAUGAAAAGAACUUUGAAAAGAGAGUUAAAAAGUACUUGAAAUUGUUAACAGGGAAGGGGAGGCUUACCAGUUAUUUCUAAGCUUCAUUCGCUUCUCCUUCGGGAGGGGUUACUUGAGGCUAAGAAGAGUCAGCAUCACCUAGAGACUUCGCAGAAAUUGAGUGAGUUGGUGCGUUUCUUCGGAUUCGUUUAACUCAUUCUAUCUACGUUUGACUCUGGGUGAGGAAUUGAAAACCCCCCACCUUCGGGUGUCGGAACUCUAUUGCCUGUUUCACCUAGUGCUUGAGAGAACAAAGUUCUGUCGGCUCGAAAGUGAAAUACUGCAGUGGAUGUUCCAGAUGGAUGGGUUCGCGAUGCAGACGAAAUGGUAGUCUUCCACCCGUCUUGAAACACGGACCAAGGAGUCUAACAUAUAUGCGAGUAUUUGGGUGACAAACCCUGAUGCGUAAUGAAAGUAAAGAGCCGAAAGGCUUGAGGUAGGAAUCUCACCCUCGGGUGGGAGGCACUAUCGACCGAUCGUUCGCUUGCGAAAGAUUUGAGUAAUAGCAUAUCUGUUGGGACCCGAAAGAUGGUGAUCUAUGCCUGAACAGGGUGAAGCCAGGGGAAACUCUGGUGGAAGCUCGUAGCGAUACUGACGUGCAAAUCGUUCGUCUGAUUUGGGUAUAGGGGCGAAAGACUAAUCGAACCAUCUAGUAGCUGGUUCCCUC
Molecule: unclassified non-coding RNA, 2118 nt
Filed under: uncultured fungus
Lineage: Eukaryota; Fungi
Description: sequence contains 18S rRNA gene, ITS1, 5.8S rRNA gene, ITS2, 28S rRNA gene
Rfam family: Eukaryotic large subunit ribosomal RNA (bases 1045-2118)
Source: RNAcentral